UCGGUACGAGGAUCGACCUCAGGACGGUGUACGUUUUUUGCCAUUUCCGAAGAAGUCAAACAACUUAGAAAAGUGUCUGAAAUGGAUAAAGGCCUGCGGAAGACCGCACUCACAGUUCAAUGUUGAACGGAUAACGAGAGCAACUUACAUUUGUUCAAAGCAUUUUGUCAACAAAAAUGGGCCAACAGAAGAAUAUCCCGACCCGAUACCAUUUGAUGGACGAACUCCAAAACCAGCAAGAAAAGUCCUCACCAAAAGAGUGAUUGAAACCCCAAAAGCUGCACAAAACAGACAAGUGAAAAGAAAAUUGAUCUACAGUGAAACAUCAGAAAUUCAAACAACAGAAAUAACACCAGAUUCCAACAAAGAAAAUAUACCACCAGAUUUUAACAAAGAAAACACUGUUGCUAUACAAACAGAAGG
Molecule: long non-coding RNA, 423 nt
Organism: Mytilus trossulus (common blue mussel)
Lineage: Eukaryota; Metazoa; Mollusca; Bivalvia; Mytilida; Mytilidae
Exons: 3
Source: RefSeq, a predicted model, not a curated record